UGCUUUUUUUCUGAGCCGUGGAACAGUAGCUCUCGGUACAUCCGCCGCUGACGGCGAUCCCCCAUCCCCCACCACCCCCCCCUGCGUCUGCUCGGGCUAGCCGGCGAUGGAAGAUGCCGGUCUAGUUCCUGCUCGACGCCGUCGACCGGUUUCCCCUUCGGGAGGAGUUUGCGGACUGCCUGUACUCAUCCAGAUCCGAUUCCUCUGGCGGUGCUACUGCGGCGAUCUGUGUUACUCGUGCCAAUUGGGAGGCACCUGGUAGCGGCGGCAGAUGGCGUCGAGAAGGAGACAUGCCCAAUGGGUAAUGGGAAGCCGACGGUCAAGAAUCAUCAAAUCAGGUUAUCAGGCAAUUUCUAGACUCUGAAUGUUCAAAACAUCAGCUCUGAAACAUCAAAGGCGCUAUUUGUUUUACAUAGUUUGGUCGGCUACUGAUUAAAGGGACGGCUUACAAUGUUACAGAAGUUGAGAAGAUGAGGAAAACAAUGCAGCCAAGAGGGAGAAAUGGAGCAGGGUCAUGUACUAGGUGACCGUCAAGGCCGCCGGUUUAGAGUUGUAGUGUGAGUGCGGGCAAUUCGAGCACAUGGGCAUGCUGUGCUCUCAUGUCUGAAUGGUGAUGGACGUGCUUCACCUGGAGGAGAUUCCUGCAAAACCCAUCGUGAAGCGGUGAACGAAGGAUGCAAGGAAUAUCCUCUGUCCAGACACCUUGUGCAGUACCAGAAAGACCAGUCGGUUAAUAAGUCCUUUUGGUACUCUGUAUGUGCAAGAUAUGGACGUUGUCAGGAGGGGCGACGCGAGCACGGAAGGUUUGAAACACAUGUCGGCUGGCCUCAAGGCAUUGCUCGCCAGCGGGCCGCCAUUCGUUGAGCAGACGAAUGGUUUAGGUUUUGUGGACCGUCAGGGAAAUACGCUUGCAGGAGUGCUGCGUGGGAAAGGAGAAACUGAAUUUAUUGCAAAUUGGGGGGUUCAGAUCAUGCAAUUGGAGGUCAAAGUGCCCCGAAGAAGCGAAGAGGAGUUGGCAGACCGACGGACAGCCAAGAGAAAGCACCGUACGAGGGAUGAGUAAACGGACAAGGUUUUGCAGUAUCUGUCGCGGCGACGGCCACAAAAGAUGAACUUGCCUUGGGCGGGGUGAUGCCCCUAAGCAAUCGCGAAAACCAGGAAAAUUCAACAACGGUGUAAUGGAAGCACACCGCCGGAACACAUGCACAUCAUAACUGCUUCGUUGUCCGCAGAAUCAAAUGUGAAAACUAGAUUUUAAUUGAUGUAUGUUGUGCUAUGAGGACUUCUGGUGUGUUGAGCUUUGCUCCAUGCUUGUUCCUCCACAUCUGAACGUGGGACUAAAGUGUGACAUUGAGUGAACUUGUUUGACGUUGAUCAGUAUCUUCCUCUGUGUGUGUGCUUGUUUUGAGUUGUUAUGUGUGACUGGAAAUGAAUGUUUGGUAGAAUAUCUGUUUGUUGUG
Triticum urartu is the source of this 1460-nucleotide non-coding RNA. Lineage: Eukaryota; Viridiplantae; Streptophyta; Magnoliopsida; Poales; Poaceae. The record is from RefSeq and is a predicted model, not a curated record.